AACUAACAAGGAUUCCCCUAGUAACUGCGAGUGAAGCGGGAAAAGCUCAAAUUUAAAAUCUGAUAGUCUUUGGCUGUCCGAGUUGUAAUCUGGAGAAGCGUCUUCCGUGCUGGACCGUGUACAAGUCUCCUGGAACGGAGCGUCAUAGAGGGUGAGAAUCCCGUCUUUGACACGGACUACCGGUGCUUUGUGAUGCGCUCUCAAAGAGUCGAGUUGUUUGGGAAUGCAGCUCUAAAUGGGUGGUAAACUCCAUCUAAAGCUAAAUAUUGGCGAGAGACCGAUAGCGAACAAGUACCGUGAGGGAAAGAUGAAAAGCACUUUGGAAAGAGAGUUAAACAGUACGUGAAAUUGCUGAAAGGGAAACGCUUGAAGUCAGUCGCGUUUGCUAGGACUCAGCCUUGCCUCGGUUUGGCGCAUUUCCUAGUUGAACGGGCCAGUAUCACUUUUGGCUGCAGGAAAAAGGUUAGAGGAAUGUGGCACCUCCGGGUGUGUUAUAGCCUCUGGCUGUAUACUGUGGCCGGGAGUGAGGAACUCAGCACGCCUUUAUGGCGGGGCUUCGGCCACCAUUCGUGCUUAGGAUGCUGGCGUAAUGGCUUUAAGCGACCCGUCUUGAAACACGGACCAAGGAGUCUAACAUGCCUGCGAGUGUUUGGGUGGAAAACCCGAGCGCGCAAUGAAAGUGAAAGUUGGGACCUCUGUCGCGGAGGGCACCGACGCCCGGACCAGAACUUCGGGGACGGAUCUGCGGUAGAGCAUGUAUGUUGGGACCCGAAAGAUGGUGAACUAUGCCUGAAUAGGGUGAAGCCAGAGGAAACUCUGGUGGAGGCUCGUAGCGAUUCUGACGUGCAAAUCGAUCGUCAAAUUUGGGUAUAGGGGCGAAAGAC
RNAcentral lists this ribosomal RNA (884 nucleotides) under Phanerochaete argillacea. RNAcentral's name for it is "LSU rRNA". It matches the Rfam family "Eukaryotic large subunit ribosomal RNA", at positions 63 to 931 of the family's 3401-position model. The record is from RNAcentral. Lineage: Eukaryota; Fungi; Basidiomycota; Agaricomycetes; Polyporales; Phanerochaetaceae.